Molecule: long non-coding RNA, 263 nt
Filed under: Prunus persica (peach)
Lineage: Eukaryota; Viridiplantae; Streptophyta; Magnoliopsida; Rosales; Rosaceae
Description: long non-coding RNA (PPER_LNC001071)
Source: RNAcentral
GUGCCCUUUCCAACUAAGUUGAAGGGUGAUUUAUAGUAGUCAAUGAGGUGAGUGUGAAGUAGGGAUUAAUUGGAUUAAGCAUGUGUUGAUGGUGGAGAGUUAGUGGAAAAUAAAUAACGGUGACGUAGGUGGGUGUUAAAUGGCUAUGAAUGACAUAAAAUAGGCUUUUUAGCUUCAACGGUUUUGUCUUCUCUUCUCCCUCUUUACUUCUCUUUACAAUCACAAUAAUCCCACAAUCAAUUCUUCAAUAAAAAUCCACCAGC